UACGUAGGUGACAAGCGUUGUCCGGAUUUACUGGGCGUAAAGAGCGCGCAGGCGGUCGUUCAAGUCGAGUGUGAAAGCCCCCGGCUCAACUGGGGAGGGUCAUUCGAUACUGAUCGACUCGAAGGCAGGAGAGGGAAGUGGAAUUCCCGGUGUAGUGGUGAAAUGCGUAGAUAUCGGGAGGAACACCAGUGGCGAAGGCGACUUCCUGGCCUGUUCUUGACGCUGAGGAGCGAAAGCGUGGGGAGCGAACAGG
This 253-nucleotide ribosomal RNA is filed under the name uncultured bacterium. Its description in RNAcentral is "partial 16S ribosomal RNA". It matches the Rfam family "Bacterial small subunit ribosomal RNA", at positions 524 to 776 of the family's 1533-position model. The record is from RNAcentral.